UGAUAAUAGUGAGGGAAAUUAUAGAGCAUAGCCCUUAAUCUUUCCCAAGCUUGGUAUAGAUUCUCUCCAUUUUUCUUCCGAAAACUCAGAAUUUCAUUUCUUAGUCA
Capsicum annuum is the source of this 107-nucleotide non-coding RNA. The record is from Rfam. NCBI's taxonomy places the organism in Eukaryota, Viridiplantae, Streptophyta, Magnoliopsida, Solanales, Solanaceae.